GAUGAACGCUGGCGGCGUGCCUAAUACAUGCAAGUCGAGCGAACGGACGAGAAGCUUGCUUCUCUGAUGUUAGCGGCGGACGAGUGAGUAACACGUGGAUAACCUCCCUAUAAGACUGGGAUAACUUCGGGAACCCGGAGCUAAUACCGGAUAAUAUUUUGAACCGCAUGGUUCAAAAGUGAAAGACGGUCUUGCUGUCACUUCUAGAUGUAUCCGCGCUGCAUUAGCUAGUUGGUAAGGUAACGGCUUACCAAGGCAACGAUGCAUAGCCGACCUGAGAGAGUGAUCGGCCACACUGGAACAGAGACACGGUCCAGACUCCUACGGGAGGCAGCAGUAGGGAAUCUUCCGCAAUGGGCGAAAGCCUGACGGAGCAACGGCGCGUGAGUGAUGAAGGCCUUCGGAUCGUAAAACUCUGUUAUUAGGGAAGAACAUAUGUGUAAGUAACUGUGCACAUCUUGACGGUACCUAAUCAGAAAGCCACGGCUAACUACGUG
This 497-nucleotide ribosomal RNA is filed under the name uncultured bacterium. Its description in RNAcentral is "partial 16S ribosomal RNA". It matches the Rfam family "Bacterial small subunit ribosomal RNA", at positions 28 to 507 of the family's 1533-position model. The record is from RNAcentral.